AUGAUGGUUGAUGUUUCAACUUCUGUUUUUCUGUUGUCUAGGUUGCUGAUGAAAACAAUACACUUAUUUGUUGAUUGUAGAUGCUGCCUCUCUUGGAGGCCAAGAGCAAGGUGGAGAAACCGGAGAAGCUGGAAAUGGCGCAGCACCAGCCGUGCAGCAGCCAUCAGGGAGGAGAGUGGAGUGUACAUCGUGCACUACAUCUUGGAGUUCACCGGGCUUUACCUACGUUCAGCUCUGACUCAGGGGCAGAUUGAGCAUUUGCGGAAGAAGAUUGCCUACGAGAUAGUCACAAUGAAAGGCAACAAAGGAGAUAUCCCAGAGUUCCUGAUUGACGCGAUCGUUGACUGA
Molecule: ribosomal RNA, 348 nt
Filed under: Triticum aestivum (bread wheat)
Lineage: Eukaryota; Viridiplantae; Streptophyta; Magnoliopsida; Poales; Poaceae
Description: partial small subunit ribosomal RNA
Source: RNAcentral